CUAAAGAAGAAGGUUUGGACAGAGGUGGAGGUUGAGCUGCAGUGCUGAUCCAAGGACAGUUUCCCCAGAGAUUCGGAAGUCAGAGGAGCCCUUUGGAGAUAUCCUGAGUUCGGCCAAGAUCAUAUUCCUGCAUCAAUUAGUCACAGAUGAGGGCUGUCACAGGAAGGGGUGUGGUCAUGGACCAGGUGAUCCCCUGCAACGAGGCAAUUAAAAAGGGGCCAAGAGAUGAAGGCUGUCUGACUUUACCACUCCCAAAGCCGCGUCAAGAAGUCCUUCAUUGAAGGAGGAGCUCAGCAGUGUACUAUAGUGUCCACUUCAUGAGACUAUAGUCUUUGAACACCUACAUCAGGAAGAAUCAUCUUGGAGAGCUUGUGAAAAGCAAAUUACAGACCUGAUGUAUCUGAAUCUCUAUCUGGCUGGAAAAGGAGAAUGUCUUCCCCUCUAUGCCACUGAAGAUGCAUUGCCUGAACACUCAUGACAGUAGGAAGACUGCGGUUGGAGAGCACAUCCAGGGAGCAGUUGAGAUAUCCUGUCAUAGGGACAAGGGGCAUGUGAACUGAGUGACUCUGGAUAUAUGCAUGAAAUUAUCCUUGGGGAAGCCAGGGAAAGCUGAAAAAAUGGUGAGAAUUCGGAGAAAGGUAGUUGGUUUGGUUGCAGUACUUUUGAUUUAGAGUAAGUUUCAGUUGAAAGAUGGCAUUUCUACAGGUGCAUUAAAUCAUAAUAAGAAAUUGGACAUACUACCCCAAAAGCCUUAACAUUCUAAAUUUUGACAAUGCUGCUCCCCUAUUAGUUAAAUCAUUUCUAAAGAAUUUUUAUCAGGAAAAAAACUUAAAAAGGAUAAUAGAGUAGUUGGUGGGGCAGAAAAUAAGAUUCAUGAAGAAAUGAAUACAAAUGCAACUAUUUGAAAACAAGAAAAAUGACCAAUGGAUUAGAAGAUAGAAGGUAGAUCUAUAAAUAUUGAAAGUGGCAGAAGACUCAUAAGUGAAAGAGAAAAGUUAUUUAUAAAAAAUAGCUCAGGUGAGCCUAAGAAAACUGAAACAAGGAGGCUAUUAGGGAAAUUUUAAACCCCAUGAACACUGUCUUAAAUCUAAAUUGUCAACAUUCUAAAGCUUUGACUCACUAUCAUAAAUGUACAUAUAUGUUUCCACUUUAUUUUUGGGUUCCCCCAAACCAAGACAGGUUUCAUUCUAUUUGGGGGUGGAAAAGAAUUUAAAUAACCAUUGGAAUGUAAACCCCUGGGAGUUCUCUCCUGUUAGAUGAGCUGAUUGACAAUUUAUUGGCAAUGGCCCUGAGGGCUGUUUUGUUCAGGAUGGAGAGCACUGUAUGAGUCUAGGCUUUGCCUUCAUGUGGGUUCUCAUAGGUACUCUGCCUUGAUAUUCUGGACUUAACCUCUAAUCUCUUUCUGCUCUUCAAAGUGAGGGUAAUAAUGCAUGUCCCACUCCUAGGGUUGUUUUGAGAGUCAAAUGCAAAACAGAUGGGAAAGUGGUUUAAACAAAGGCAAGCUUUUCCAGGCUCAGUCAAGCAGAGAAUGCUGGCAUCAGUUACAAUUAGAAAGAGUAUGUGAGUAGUACAACAUAAGUCUUUAAAUCUCUUAAAAUGGGAUGGCAUGUUCACUUAAAGUUGCUAGAUAAUUAGUGUCUAAUGUCCACAUGGUUAUUAUAGUAAAGAACUUUAUAGAAGCUUCUUCAAAUAGCUGGAAUGUAGGUUUUAUUACAUUCAGCUGUCCAUGCCUUAGAGUACUUAUGUAGGAUUAAUAAUGAAAUUGGACCUAGACCAGGGGUGCAUAAAUUUGGCUGACUUGAUUUGGUGGCACUUUACUCCUUGGGGCUAAUUGAAUCACAGCGGCUAUACAGGAUUAGUUUAGUUCUGAAAGUAAACCCAAAGGUAGGGCUGCCUGUGCAGGUAAUCAUAGCCCAUGUGGGAUGACUUCUGGGGCAUUGAAAAGACUCCCAAACAUAUCCUACUCUGACCUACAAACCUCUAAAUUCUACAAUUAGAAUUGAUUAUUUUUACUCUAGCCAAACAGGUAUUUUUCUCCCACUAAAGUAUGUUAAGAAAUCUAGGGGCAUGCUAUAAUUUUGCCUGGGCUUUACCUGACGAGAAAUACCCAGAAAGACCUGACUUUUGGGAAGCACUUAGGUGAUGCCAUAGAAUUGAAUCUGCCUGGGAUCAUAUAUACAUUGGUUAGGUCAGUAGCCAGGAAGGAUUACUUAUUCUACAAAUACUUAUUGAGUAUCUAUAGGGUAUUUAUCAUGUGGUUGUAUAUUUCCCAUGUAGAAUUUGUAGAAUCUCCAUAUGAUGAUACAAGAGUAAUCAGAUUAUAACUGUCUUAUUAAAAUAAA
Long non-coding RNA from Felis catus (domestic cat), 2342 nucleotides. RefSeq lists it as uncharacterized. The transcript is spliced from 3 exons. NCBI's taxonomy places the organism in Eukaryota, Metazoa, Chordata, Mammalia, Carnivora, Felidae. The record is from RefSeq and is a predicted model, not a curated record.